AUGGCCUGGGUCUUAGUCCUCCUGGUCUUCUCUCAUUUCUUGGGUUCCCUCUCCCAGCCUGUGUUGACUCAGAUGUCCUCUGUCUCUGCAUUUCUUGGAUCUUCUGCCAGACUCAACUGCACACUGAGCAGUGGUUUUGAAGUACCUGGAUAUCAUAUAUCCUGGUACCAGCAGAAGACAGAGAGUAUGCCUCAGUUUUUGCUAAGAUACUACUCAGACUCAGAUAAGUACCAGGGACCUGGGGUCCCCAGCCGCUUCUCUGGAUCCAAAGAUGCCUCUGCCAGUGCAGGGAUUUUACUCAUCUCUGGACUUCAGCCAGAGGAUGAGGCUGACUAUUACUGUGCAACAUAUCAUGGCAACACUGGCAGUAACACAGUGAUCCAGACCAAGGGAGAACUGCAACGAAGCUUCCCCAAGCUCCUCAUCUAUGGUAAUAGCAAUCGACCAUCAGUGAUCCCUGAUUGCUUCUCUGGCUCCAAUUCUGGUAACUCAGCCACACUUACCAUUACUGGGCUCCAGCCUGAAGAUGAAGUUGAUUAUUUUUGUGAGUCCCAUUAUGAUAACCUCGAUGCUCACACAGUGCUUCAGUUCUAUAAGGAAGUGAGACAAGAAACCUUCCUGUUCCGCCAGUAG
Non-coding RNA from Castor canadensis (American beaver), 633 nucleotides. The record is from the annotation of a RefSeq genome assembly. Lineage: Eukaryota; Metazoa; Chordata; Mammalia; Rodentia; Castoridae.